AAAAUCUGCAGAUUUAACAGUUUGAAUUACAUCCAUCCAUCCAUCCCCCAUCCAGAGGACAUGUCCCUCCUUCCUCCUCCCAAAUCCAGCACCUGCCAGGAGUCCACUGAUACCCCCCCACCUCAAUAGAAACUCACCCUCACCUCAGCCAGAAGCCUUCAAAACACUUUGAAUUAUUUCCCCCCUACCCAUUUUAAGAAAAUAAAUAAGAGGAAAAUUUUAACCAGAUCAUCUACUUUUUAUUUCAGAGGAAAGAUUUGCAUUAUUUACUUUUAUUUAUAUACAUGUACUUCACAUUUGUAUUUAAAAUGCACAGACCUCCCAAGGUUCUCUCAUUCCGGCUUUAAAUUAGCUGUUAUUUUACAAUACAAAAAAUUAUACCAAAAACUGCAAUCCUAAAUGUGUGUAUGUAUAACACCCACAACCCCAGCAAUGAAAUAGUUUACAAUACUUGCUCCUAUUUACAUAUGAAUGCAAUAAAUGCUAAAUUAUACAUAUUAACAAACUAAGCUCAAGUCUGAACACAGAUAAGAAUCAUAAAUAAUUACAGAACAAAGAGGGGAAAAAAUCCAGAAUACAAUUAAUUCAAGGAUCUUAGUUUAAAGAACAUUAAUGUGCACAAAUUUCAGAGUAAUAGAAAACUCUUUUUUUUUCUUUUCUUUUUUUUUUUUUUUUAAUGGACUGACAUGUGAUACACUCUGCGACAAUUGUUAUUUUUUUUUCUUUUUUUCUACUGGUGAGGUUUGUGGAAUCAAUACUAAAUGGAGAGGAAACGUCUAAAGAAUUCUAGUACCUGGAAGACGCACACAAAUAGUCUGUGUGAACAAAGAAACAGACUGAACAAAACCUGCCCUGAUGCAAAAAAUCAGCAGAUACACAAAUUGUAGUAGUCCUGGCAUGGAAACUCAGCUCGUUUCAGCAGCUAACAAGAGAAAAAGCAGGAAUUUGUCUAAAAUUGCAAAGAACGCACCCAAAACGAGGAGCACGCCCCAAGCCAUUCCUUCCCUCCCUUCCCAGCACAGCCCACCAAGCCCUGUCCCCCCAUCCUGCAGCUCCAGGGGGCUCUGCCAGGGCAGAGCCUGCUGGCUGCAUUCUCACAGCACAGCUCAGGAUAAUAAAUCCCAGUUAACAGCAAGAAAUCCCAGUGGGAAGGGGCUGAGGGCUCCGGGAUGCAGCUGGUGCCUGUCCCCAGCUCAGGGUCUCCUGGAGAAGGAAAAGCAGCUGGAACACCUGGAGCAGCAAGGACAGGGGGCAGCCCAGCCCAUGGCACUGGAGCCCCCAGGUUAUGGAGAAGGCCCAGGGCUGAUUUCAGCCUCAAACCCUCCUUCCAGCCCGUGCAGGGCCGAGCAAGCUGAGUGCCAUUUCCAGGCACCCCCCAACCAGGGCUGGGCACCCCGGGCACGUCUCCUCACAGCACCAGAACCUCUGGGCACCCUCCAGGACACAGAGCACCCCUCAGCAGGGUGGGUCUGCCAGCAGGGGCUGCCACGUCCACAGCUCCACACCACUGAGUCUGGGACAUUACACACCACGGCUGAUGUUAAUCACAGGCAUUUCCCAUCAUAAACAGCUUUAUUUUCGUAAUUUCACUGCAAUGCAUUUUAAGCCCAGGAAAAGUGAUAACAACUGAAAAGUUGUCUCAUAAAUAUUCUUGUACCCAAAAUAUUGAGCCAGAGCAUAGCAAGGUCAUGCUACACCAGCCCAGAGAAAAUUCUGGGCUAAAAACCAUGGAAAAUGGUGAAUUAAAAAAAAAAAAGGUGUUAUUUGGAGAUCCACUGGCACCAUUGUUUUCUCAAAGAAAAGGGCCCCAACAGUUCUGAAAUUUCAUUAAUUUUUUAAAAGGCUCCUCUCAUAGAAUUAAAAUCUUCUGAGGGCCCAGACACCAAAUGCUGAAUUUCAGCCAGUUUACACCUGAAAAUAGUGAUUUUGAAUGGAAACACUGCCACAAUUUUAGUAACAAAGGCCUUAAAGGACUGAUUCAAUCCUCCACGUAGUGACCACUUUAAGGACCUUUAUUACUUGCAUCCAAAUGUUGCUUUUUCCCCUAUCAAAUGCAAAAGCCAUUAUUUAACUUGGUUUCUACAUAUAAGUGAAAUACAUUUGAACACACAAAAGUCAAGUUAUGCCUCCCUGCUUUGCAAGAUAUCACGAUAUAAUCUGGUGUUUAAAGAUCUGGAAAGUUAUCUACUACUGAUCAGAUGAAGGAGUUUUUAAGACAAAACUCAUACAUAAUUUAAAAUCAACAAAAAUACAUUCAAUAUUUUUUCUGGUUUAUAUACACUUUAAAUCUCUCCAUGUUCUGCACGUUACUGUAGAGUUUAUGUACAAGUGCAAAAUCUGUGUGCCAUUUGUCAUUUAUUUACAGAUUCUCCCAUGAAAUAAGGUUUUCUUUCUCCCCCACCUCACUUCCAAAUGAAAUAAACCCAAAAAUCCUUCACUUUUGAUACUGGCC
RNAcentral lists this long non-coding RNA (2452 nucleotides) under Serinus canaria (Common canary). Its description in RNAcentral is "lncRNA (ENSSCAG00000013724.1)". The record is from RNAcentral. Lineage: Eukaryota; Metazoa; Chordata; Aves; Passeriformes; Fringillidae.